UCGGGAAUUUUGGGCAAUGGGCGAAAGCCUGACCCAGCAACGCCGCGUGAGGGAUGAAGUAUUUCGGUAUGUAAACCUCGAAAGAAUGGGAAGAAUAAAUGACGGUACCAUUUAUAAGCUCCGGCUAACUACGUGCCAGCAGCCGCGGUAAUACGUAGGGAGCAAGCGUUGUUCGGAUUUACUGGGCGUAAAGGGCGCGUAGGCGGCGCGGUAAGUCACUUGUGAAAUCUCUGAGCUUAACUCAGAACGGCCAAGUGAUACUGCUGUGCUAGAGUGCGGAAGAGGCAACCGGAAUUCUUGGUGUAGCGGUGAAAUGCGUAGAUAUCAAGAGGAACACCCGAGGCGAAGGCGGGUUGCUGGGCCGACACUGACGCUGAUGCGCGAAAGCCAGGGGAGCAAAC
Molecule: ribosomal RNA, 401 nt
Filed under: uncultured bacterium
Lineage: Bacteria
Description: bacterial SSU rRNA
Rfam family: Bacterial small subunit ribosomal RNA
Source: RNAcentral